This 1985-nucleotide ribosomal RNA is filed under the name Triticum aestivum (bread wheat). RNAcentral describes it as "partial small subunit ribosomal RNA". Lineage: Eukaryota; Viridiplantae; Streptophyta; Magnoliopsida; Poales; Poaceae. The record is from RNAcentral.
GAAGCGCGUCUUUCCCCACCCUCCCUAACAAACCUCCGUUGCUGUUUUAAGAUCCGAUCUCCCCUUCCCCCCUCCCCUCCCUUCCUCCUGAGUCCUGACCACCCCUCCUCGCGCUCCAGCUAAAUCCACGCCACCGAUGGCCCGCACGGGCCUCGCGGACGCAACGGCGCCGGAAGCCGACGCAAUGCCGGCCGCCAGCAAGGACGCCGCCGACGUCCGCAUGAUCUCCACCAAGGAGCUGCAGGCGCACGCUGCCGCGGACGACCUCUGGAUCUCCAUCUCCGGGGACGUCUACGACGUCACGCCGUGGCUGCGCCACCACCCGGGCGGCGAGGUCCCGCUCAUCACCCUCGCCGGCCAGGACGCCACCGACGCCUUCAUGGCCUACCACCCGCCCUCCGUGCGCCCGCUCCUCCGCCGCUUCUUCGUCGGCCGCCUCUCCGACUACACCGUCCCCCCCGCCUCCGCCGACUUCCGCCGCCUCCUCGCGCAGCUCUCCUCCGCGGGCCUCUUCGAGCGCGUCGGCCACACCCCCAAGUUCCUGCUCGUCGCAAUGUCGGUGCUCUUCUGCAUCGCCCUCUACUGCGUCCUCGCCUGCUCCAGCACCGGGGCCCACAUGUUCGCCGGCGGCCUCAUUGGCUUCAUCUGGAUCCAGUCGGGCUGGAUUGGCCAUGACUCCGGCCACCACCAAAUCACCAGGCACCCCGCGCUCAACCGCCUCCUGCAGGUGGUCUCCGGGAACUGCCUCACCGGCCUCGGCAUCGCCUGGUGGAAGUUCAACCACAACACACACCACAUCUCCUGCAACAGCCUCGACCAUGACCCGGACCUCCAGCACUUGCCGCUCUUCGCGGUUUCCACCAAGCUCUUCAACAACCUUUGGUCGGUCUGCUACGAGCGCACCUUGGCGUUUGAUGCCAUAUCCAAGUUCUUCGUCAGCUACCAGCACUGGACAUUCUACCCGGUGAUGGGAUUUGCAAGGAUAAAUCUUCUUGUGCAGUCAAUCGUGUUCCUGAUCACGCAAAAGAAGGUGCGGCAGCGUUGGCUGGAGAUCGCCGGAGUUGCAGCGUUCUGGGUUUGGUACCCCUUGCUGGUCUCUUGCCUGCCGAAUUGGUGGGAGAGGGUUGCUUUUGUGCUUGCAAGCUUUGUGAUCACGGGGAUUCAGCAUGUUCAGUUCUGCCUGAACCACUUCUCAUCCGCUGUGUAUGUUGGGCCACCAAAGGGGAACGACUGGUUUGAGAGGCAAACAGCGGGCACACUUGAUAUCAAGUGCUCCCCGUGGAUGGAUUGGUUCCAUGGUGGUCUGCAGUUCCAGGUUGAACACCAUUUGUUUCCUCGCCUGCCUCGCUGCCACUAUAGGAUGGUCGCGCCGAUUGUGCGUGACCUUUGCAAGAAGCAUGGGCUGUCUUAUGGUGCCGCCACAUUCUGGGAGGCAAAUGUAAUGACAUGGAAGACGCUAAGGGCUGCAGCAUUGCAGGCCAGGGAAGCCACUACUGGAGCUGCUCCAAAGAAUCUGGUCUGGGAAGCUUUGAACACUCAUGGAUGACUGGGAUCAGGACUGGAGUAUGAGACAAUUGUAAGCGUCGAGCCUUGCGUGCAUGCAGUUAUCUGAUUGCUUCUCGAUUGCGUAGAGAUAUUGAUCCUUUUAGCUGUUGGAAUCGUGUUGGAUUUUUCGUGUUGCCAGGUGACUAUCUUUGCAGUUCAAUCGUGGGUUCAUGCUUCAGUUGUGUACUUGUACACCAUAUUUAGAUUGUUGGGUUCUCCCUAUCAUGGUAACUACAUCAAUAGUACUUGAUUUACAUCAUAAAAUCCGUGGCUUAUCUUUACAUCCAUUUCAUUUUGCUUGCAAGUUCAUGAAACUGUAAACUCAAUUGAUGGUUUGUAGCGUGUAUAUCCUGCUGCUAUGGCAGCUUGAACUGCAUUUUGGGAACAUGACGAUUCCAAUAAUAAACGUUUAGACAUUUUCUACUGCAUGUGUAUGCCCU